RNAcentral lists this ribosomal RNA (497 nucleotides) under uncultured bacterium. RNAcentral's name for it is "partial 16S ribosomal RNA". It matches the Rfam family "Bacterial small subunit ribosomal RNA", at positions 28 to 507 of the family's 1533-position model. The record is from RNAcentral.
GAGGAACGCCGGCGGCGUGCCUAAUACAUGCAAGUCGAGCGAACAGACGAGGAGCUUGCUCCUCUGACGUUAGCGGCGGACGGGUGAGUAACACGUGGAUAACCUACCUAUAAGACUGGGAUAACUUCGGGAAACCGGAGCUAAUACCGGAUAAUAUAUUGAACCGCAUGGUUCAAUAGUGAAAGACGGUUGUGCUGUCACUUAUAGAUGGAUCCGCGCCGCAUUAGCUAGUUGGUAAGGUAACGGCUUACCAAGGCAACGAUGCGUAGCCGACCUGAGAGGGUGAUCGCCCACACUGGAACUGAGACACGUUCCAGACUCCUACGGGAGGCAGCCGUAGGGAAUCCUCCGCAAUGGGAGAAAGCUUGACGGAGCAACGCCGCGUGAGUGCUGCAGGUCUUCGGAUCGUAAAAAUCUGUUAUUAGGGAAGCACCAAUGUGUAAGUAACUAUGCACGUCUUGACGGUACCUAAUCAGAAAGCCACGGCUAGCUCCGUG